Sapajus apella (tufted capuchin) is the source of this 1537-nucleotide long non-coding RNA. RefSeq lists it as uncharacterized. The record is from RefSeq and is a predicted model, not a curated record. The transcript has 3 exons. NCBI's taxonomy places the organism in Eukaryota, Metazoa, Chordata, Mammalia, Primates, Cebidae.
UCAAAAAUAAAUAAAUAAAUAAAAAAUAAAAAUAAAAAGAGUGGAAAUCACGGAACGUGGGGAUUCUUAACAUUCAUUUCAUGUUUAUCAUUGUUUGUUUUUCUGACAGCUUAGCUUUCGUCCUAGGGAUAUGUACAGGUGCAAAUAUAUAAGUGUUUCUAUAACCCCGUCUCAUUCCUAUUAGGUUUUAAGUCUUUUUCAUAAAUAGCUUUCUGAGAAACUGAAGUUUGGGGAAGAAAAACACACCACCACUGUUUUUUGCCACAUUUGCUGUGAACACAGCAUUCUCACCUCACACAAAUCCAUGUUCCAGUGAAACAGGGUGCUGCUGCCUUCCCAGAGAAAUGUCCCACAGCUGCUGUGACUAAAAGGAGGUGACAGACAGAAAAGGAGCAGAUAUGAACCAUCUGGAUUGAAAUAAUCUUUGGGCUUUUCUUGGCCAGGGUCAGCCUUGGAGCCCCCAUGUCGUCUAACUCCUCUGCAUUGUUCAAAAUGGCCUGAAGAACUUCUCAACACGGACAGUUGCCCAGGCCAGUCAGGUCCAAGGCCACCGCUGCUCGGGCUGUCAUCAGCUUGAUCUCCGCACCGGCCACCUCCAGGCGUGCUUUCCUGUUUUCUUGGUAGAGCGUGCAGAUCAUUGGCCUGAAAUGUUGGAUUGCUAUUUUUUUCUCUCUUGGAAAAUGAGACUGUUUUACGAUUAUUUCCAGAGGAAUUGAAAUAAAUUGAAUGAUAAAGAUUUCACAGCAGCUGCUUGUCAUGAGUAAUUAUCAGACAGUCUCAGUGACAAAGAUGCUCUCCUUGACCACAUUUUCUCACGCUCCCUGAGCCUUUUUCAGCGAGGCUCUGUCUUCGGCCUUGGUUUUCAGAUUGCCUGGACUAGUUUUAGCAGGAAGUCAAUUCAUUGCCCCUAGUUCUUGAGCUAAAUCCCUCUGUUAAUAAUCAAUAAUUAUAAAUCAGCAAAUAUUUAUAAGCCUCCUGCUACAAUGUCUGUAUUAUGCCCAGAAAUCAUAUUGUAAUAGUGUUCUAGGGCUGCUAUAACCAAGUACCACAGACCGGGCGCCUACAGUAGAUGUAUCCCAUGUGGUAGAUUCAUAGCAGAAAUCGAUCCUGUCACCAUCUGGAGGCUGAGUCCGAGAUCAGGGUGACCACAGACUUGGUCUCCGAGGCCUCUCUCCUGAGCCUACCCAUCUGGAAGAAAUGAAACACUUUCUCUCAUCCUCUGGAAGCCUGAGCUCUCCUUUCCCUCGCAGGGAGAGCCACUGUUUGUUUUUACUGUUGGAAAGAAUAGAAGAGGAUGUUCCAGAACUGAGUUGGACACCCUGGAAAUGAUUCAUCCAAGGUCAGAAUAUGGACGUGAAUGGAGGCGAGUCAGCUUCAACCAUACCAUGAGGACGGUGCCCUAGGAGGUGGCAGAGCCACCAGAGAAAUGGAACCCAAGUCAUGGAAUAACCUCAUACUGCAGAGCCACCCUGCGAAUCCCAGACUGCUCACCUUUGGACUAUCACUGGAGAAAUAAAUAAACUUUCCAGUCGUUAAA